Molecule: ribosomal RNA, 428 nt
Filed under: uncultured bacterium
Lineage: Bacteria
Description: partial 16S ribosomal RNA
Rfam family: Bacterial small subunit ribosomal RNA
Source: RNAcentral
GUGGGGAAUAUUGGGCAAUGGGCGAAAGCCUGACCCAGCAACGCCGCGUGAGGGAAGAAGGCCUUCGGGUUGUAAACCUCUGUCCUUGGUGACGAAAAAAAUGACGGUAGCCAAGGAGGAAGCCCCGGCUAACUACGUGCCAGCAGCCGCGGGAAUACGGAGGGGGCGAGCGUUGUCCGGAAUUACUGGGCGUAAAGGGUGCGUAGGUGGCCUUUUAAGUUGGAUGUGAAAUCCCCGGGCUUAACGUGGGUGGUGCAUCUAAUACUGGAGGGCUAGAGUGCAGGAGAGGGAAGCGGAAUUACUAGUGUAGCGGUGAAAUGCGUAGAUAUUAGGAGGAACACCAGUGGCGAAGGCGGCUUUCUGGACUGUAACUGACACUGAGGCACGAAAGCGUGGGGAGCAAACAGGAUUAGAAACCCGUGUAGUCC